CAGGGAUGGGAUAUCGGGGCCAGCAUUAUAAAGGCACAGGUCCAGGAGGCUAUUGAGGACUCUGCAGAUGACCCAGAUGGUUUAAAAGACAGUGGUCUCGGACCAGAUGCUACGCAAUGGAGUGAGCGGACACUGGACGCCCCUGAAGAAUACCACGACUCCCCGCACAGUGACGCUGUUUCUGACCUCAACCCAAACAGCGAAGGGAGUCUGUCCACCCUGCUGGCGGCAGAAGACCUGCAUCUUGGGUGGCACAUUGACAAUACCUUUUGCCCUGUUGAAAUCAGAUCUCAGCAUAGGAGGGGGAGUCCCAGUAGCCGGCCUGCUGCGAAGAGUCCUGGAGGAGAUGAGAAGCACACAGAGCAAACCCUGAGGGGUCAGAGUAUAGAGACAGGUAGUGAACAUGCAGUGAUCACAGACACACACAUUGACCACAGCAGAAAAGCACAAGGUGGGCACUGCUUGGACACACAUUGUCUCCUUACAGAAGCUCACAAUGUAGAUCUAGGUGUAGCAGGAUCGGGAGUUGUGACUCCUGCAGCAAAAUCGGGGGAAAAACAGGAAGCCGUGUCAACUUCUCCGGUUCCGCUUUCCCAUACUCGUUACUCAUGUACCCCAGAGUUCCACAGGAUAGAGGACACCUCCAAAGUACGGCAGCUAAUCGCUGAGCCUCUGAGGUGUCUGAGUGAGAACCUCGAGGCAGACAGCAGGACCGCAACAGGGCGCAGUUCGUCCAAGAAAGACAAGGUGGACAAUGCAGAAGAGCCAAGCUUCCCUUUUCCCUGUGGACUAUCCAAACCCAAGGAGGUGCUGAAAGACUGCCUGCUUCUCAGCGAUAGAAAGUGUGAGGUAAUAUCCUCUGACAUCUGUGCACUGCCAGACUCCUUCAAACUAACCCCAAAGCUGCCAUUUGGCAAAGAGAGCCCAGAAUUAAUAAAUUCUCUUUGUAAAAAAAGAGAUAACGUUUGCAAUGCUUCCGUUAUACGGAAAAAAAAUGUAGGCGACACAUCUAGUGCUUCAGAGACAGAAACAGAAGACUGUGAGACUUCCCCUACUGAACAGCACGAUUCAACAAAAGCAGCAGGACCACUUCCGUGCAGGCCCAAAGUCAUUUUGGUGGAAAUCGGAGAUGACCUUCACGUGAACUGCAAAAAAAGUGGACAAACCAAAUCAAAUCAGAAAUGUAAAAAAGGUAAGAGGUACACAGACCCACUGGUGAACUCCAAACACCUUACUGAGCUGAACUGCCUCAGACACACAGACCACAUCCAAGGGGACCUUGGAACCUCGGAGCUAGAGGACAUUCCGGUAAGGACGAUAGAAAUUACACUGGGGA
Molecule: long non-coding RNA, 1336 nt
Filed under: Scleropages formosus (Asian bonytongue)
Lineage: Eukaryota; Metazoa; Chordata; Actinopteri; Osteoglossiformes; Osteoglossidae
Description: lncRNA (ENSSFOG00015032249.1)
Source: RNAcentral